AACGAACGCUGGCGGCAUGCCUAACACAUGCAAGUCGAACGAGACCUUCGGGUCUAGUGGCGCACGGGGGCGUAACGCGUGGGAACCUGCCCUUAGGUUCGGAAUAACUCCCCGAAAGGGGUGCUAAUAACGGAUAAUGUCUUCGGACCAAAGAUUUAUCGCGGUUGGAUGGGCCCGCGUUGGAUUAGCUAGUUGGUAGGGUAAUAGCCUACCAAGGCGACGAUCCAUAGCUGGUCUGUGAGGAUGAUCAGCCACACUGGGACUGCGACACGGCCCAGAAUCGUACGGGAGGCAGGAGUGGGGAAUAGUGGGCAAUGGGCGAAAGCCUGAUCCAGCAAUGCCGGGUGAGUGAUGAAGGCCUUAGGGUUGUAAAGCUCUUUUACCCGGAAUGAGAAUGACAGUACCGGGAGAAUAAGCUCCGGCUAACUCCGUG
Molecule: ribosomal RNA, 433 nt
Filed under: uncultured bacterium
Lineage: Bacteria
Description: partial 16S ribosomal RNA
Rfam family: Bacterial small subunit ribosomal RNA
Source: RNAcentral